UAGCAACAUCCGCCACACCACACAUAUACCUUUCUUACCCCAUCGCGUCCUGGCUCGCGUGUCGAACCAUCAGCGGCCUUCCUACCUUAUCACAGAUGAAGGCAACGGCCCCGUCUUCUACACUCUCCUCUCCCUCUCCUUCGUUCUCUUGUAUCCUCGGGGCGACUGUGAGCCACCAGGUGACGGUGCCAUCCCCAUCGCUGUCGCACAAAGACAGACAGAGAGGUACAUACUGGCGCAGCUGGCGGCCUCUUAGCCUGACACGUGGCAGCGUGCGUGCGAAGAGCAUCCGCCGGAAGCCCUCUCUCUUUCCCAUUCGACGUUGGCCGCAGCCUAAGCGUGGCUGCCCUUGCUCGGGGCUCGCCUCCCUCCUCUCCGUUGUGGCCCAGACACACACACGCGCGCGCUUGCGCUCCACCGGUGUGCAAUGUCCCGCGAACCCAAUGAAGGCACCUUUGGGGCUGCGCUCGCCAAUGAGUUUCAGUGGCGCAAUUUGUACCUGAAGGAGUUCGGCUGCUGCACCUAUCCACCGCCGAUCCCGAAGGACCCCAGCACCACCGCCGUUGGUGUCUAUCCGAUGCGACAGCAAGCCAAGCUCCUCCAACAGGAAAGCAGCAGCAGCGAUGAUGCUGAUAACGGAGUGGAGGAGGACGACCACUAUGAAGAGUCCACGGACGAUACCGAUGGGGACGACAGCUACCAAGCGAACUUUAGCUCAGGCCUCUUCCAAUUCUCCUUCAGCGGCGGUGACAGUGAUGGAUGCCAUUCGCGAAGGCACCAAUCCCACAACGGCGACCUGGCAGAUGCAGAGCCCCCCAGCACGAGCUGCUCGCGUCGCGACCGUAGCACGGCAGAUCAGUUUUUCAGUCUCGACUUGUCCAUGUCUGUUGGCGAGGAUGGGGCCAGCACGCACACCUUCCGUCACCCCAGCCACCGCAGCGGUGGGCGACGGUGCGGCCAAGGCGCUGUCCUGCGCAAAGACGACUUCUUCGACACCAACGACGUCUUCUCGACAAAGUUCUUCAGUUUUCUGUGGACAGAGUCGGACAACGACGGCGACGACGAGGAAUACGCCAGCGACACGCGCACGGUCGACCACCAGGCUCGGCGCUGGGGAGCGCGCGACCCGGACAACGGGCGAGGCAUGAAGAGCAGCCUGCGAAGCAGAAAGAACCCCGGUCGUCUCACGCUGUCACGACCCGGCUUCUCGACGGUGACAAGUCACGCCUUCAACACGAAUCCGCAAGAAGUGCCGGAGGCGGUGCUGCGACUGCACCACCAGACAUGGAUCCUGCUGAUGGACAACCGCCUCAUAGCCUGGGUGCACCGCGCGGCCACCGAUCACUGCCAGCGGGCCACGCAGCUGCGUCAGCGCUUACUGGAAUUAAUUGCGCGCGGCCCUUGUUCCGCUGACAUCACCGGCGACGCCACGUUCGCCUCGUCCACCCAGGUCAGCACCUCACUCGUGUUGCCGGAGGAAGACGCGCUGCAGCGCACCUUGGAGAGCUUCUCGCCCUUCUUUGUCGUUGUUGCGCCGCCGCCGGCGGUGCAGCGGGCGAAGGAUCAGUUCCGGGCGGCGCAACGGGGACAGCUCCGCAGCGGCAACGGUCAACAGGCCGCCGCCGCUGCCGUCGCCGACCUCAUCGGUCUCCCGCUCCUGAGUCAGUACGGCUCCUGGCGGGAGGCCUACGAGCACCGGCACCGCUGGGACAAGGUGCCCUUCUCUUUCUUUUUCAUCCAUGACGUCAGCUACAACUACGCGCAAGUCACGGCCUUGUUUGUGCAGCUGCAGCUGCUCUACAAGCACUCCCAUUCUCACUCGCGGCGCUGUGCGGCGGCCAAGCGGGAGUCGGUGCCUCUGAAGAACGCCAGUCGUCAAUUUACCACCUUGAGCACCGCUAGUCGCGCCCCGGAGGAGCGGCGCCACGUGUGCCCGCUCGUGCUCAUGCAGGAGAUGACGGAGAACGUUGUCCUGGCCUACGAGCAAAGCGCCGCCCGCACAACGCUGCCGAUGCUGCGCCGCGUACUCGAUUUUCUGACGGAUGCCGCGCUGGACGUGGUGACGGCGAACCGCUUUAUCAGCCGUGAGGCGGUCCUACGGCAGCACCAGUUUCAGCUGCCAGGCAUGACCACCGUGCGCCCUUUGCAAAUCGCGACAGUGGCCUCGGCGGCGGCGGCGACGGCUUUCGACGUGUCACAGGCCACAGAGGAGGAUGGGUCAGCGGACGCUGCAGAGGAUAGGCGACUAACUAGCCGAAGCCUUGGCGUCUCCAAGGAGGAGGACGGCGCGCCCACGAAGGACGAGCUCUCCGGCAUCGACGGCAGCGGCAUCCCCAUCAGCGGCGUUGAGCCGCAGCGCGUCACGGAGAGCGACAUCAACGCGCUCUUUGAAAUCGCCUACUGGUUCGCAGAUGUGACCACAGCAAACGCCUCGGUGCCACUGGACCCAGCUCUGCCCGCAGGCAUGACGGCAGGGCAAUCCGCGGCGCGAGUGAUGCCGCCAAACACUUCACUAGAGGCUUUAAAGAAAAUGAACCGAAGCUCUCCUGCUAGCACACUACCGUUAGACACACCGACGGACCGCGCCCGCACCAACCACAGCGCAGCCGCGGCCGCUGGAGGUCGCGGUGCGCCCUUACCGAUGUAUAAAGUCCUCAGCGUUGAGGGAUCGCAGCUCUCCUCGCCGCAAAACAGCAAUGCCGUCUCCCUGACGGGAGCGGAUGAUUCGUCGCUGUCGUCGUUGACGUCGCGGUCGCAGCAGUACCUGCCUGGGCGCGUACAGGUGUACAGCCCCGUCGAGUCCCUUGCGGAGGCGGUGGCGUUGCUGGAGGCGUACCGCAAGCCACAACAACUGCGCGACGAUCGGCCCGGCCGUGCCGGCCGCAGGAAGCGUCACAGUGUUUCGGUUGACCCGAGGGCCCGCAGUGGCGGCGCCGGAGCGAAGGGGCCCACAUUGCCGAGUCUCACACCGAUCCCCGUCUCCGACUCCUUUACAAGCUUUAUCAGUCCGUUGGUGGUUCUCACUACCUACCUCCGCCUACACGGCGGCACAUGGCUAAAGCAUCUCUGCCGCCGCGUCUUCGAGUCUCUGCGCAGGCCGAAUGUCUUGCUUUACGUCAACACACUCGAGCUCGACGCCGCGUGGGCGUCCCUGCAGCCACCGUCCUCACUGUCAUCACAAGAGACCACGAAACUGAGUGUCGCGGCGGCGACGCGAGGGCGCCAACGCCUACUAAGCCGGUCCAUUUCAGCUACGCCGCUAGCCCCGAACACCGCUGUCAGCGCAGAGGCGGCGCGCAGCGACUUUCUUUACGGCCUCGGCUGUCUGGAAGACCUCAUUUGCCAAGACAUCUUGUGCGCCCUCAACAACUUCUUCGGUUUCCUGUACGGAAAGCGAGCCGCUGCCGCGCGAUUGCCGCAAGGGAUCUCCAUCCUGCUCACCCAAUUUGUGUCCACCGUGCACCUAUACAUGCUCGAGAGCGUCGGCGCCACUCGCGCCGCAGCGGCGGCGGCGCCCGGUAACGGCAAUCGUAAUCGCUCGAUGCGUCCCGGCUCUCACCCUAGCCCAAGCGCUUCAGGAGGGGUCACGGCGGCUGACGCCCCGAGUCGCAUCGUGGAGGACUGCCUGCGUGUGUGCAAGCAGCGCUACUACGCUGGCUUGCGCCGGCACGGCAGCGCCAAUGAGGCGGGAGAGGCCUAUGUGUCUGCCUUUCGCGAUCUUGACGGCCCCUUGAAGAGCGUCAGCGGUGGUGCUGCGGCGGAGGCAACGGCAUCGACUGCCUCGCUGCCACGCCUCCUGCACACGAUUGAGCAGCACCGCCUCGCGAAAUUCAUUUUAUUCGACUGCUGGAUUCUGCCAGCCCUCAACAACGCCAUAUCGCUCGGCUACCUGGCUUCCGACUCACCGAUGCACCUCCGCUGGAACGUCGACGCGCUCGCACGGUAUCUCAAGAUCCUUGUGCACGCGCCCUUUGUUGAGCAGGACAAGAAGAAUUUCGCCAGCCUCUUCCCAGACGUCCCGAGGAACUCCAGGCGACGCAGCACCGGCUACCCGCGCUCCCACGACGUUCGUGACGGUAAGGGCGGCUGCGGCGCCGACAAGCAGCUAAGGAGCGGCCGACCUCCCUCUCAAGGCGAUGGCCGAGGCGCCGGGCGACCCACAGUGCUGACGCUGCCGCCGUACCUCACCGGCAUCUACGACGUCGCCACCGGCUCGCUGGUGAGAGUGCAGACCUCGAUGCCCAUGUCCGCCACAGCCGGAGUCGACCGGUGCAAAAGGAUGUCGAGUGCUGCGCCCGCGGCAGAGCAUCCGACCUCACUCAGCGCGUCGUCGUCAACGCUGCUGAGUUCGGCGAUGAGCACGGUGGCUCAGGGCGAACCCGUGAACGGCGAGGCACCGUCGCCUCGGCGCACCGAGAACAGCGGCGAGGACGUGUCGGCGGUGGAGUCUCCAACGCAGGAGGGGCAGUCGAAGUGGACGCUGGAGGCCACGGCCCUCCCGCCUAGUGCCUCCGCGACGCACGAGACGCCGUCUCGUGCGUCUCCGCAGCGGCACUUCAAAGUGCAGCAAGCCGCUCAGCAUCCGGCGUCUGCCGCGGCGGCAAACAAGUCGACGGUGACACCACAGUCUGCGAGCUCCUCCCGUUUGUUUUCCAUUGCCGGGGACUCUGUGGAGGCAGCCGCAGACAUGUCGUCACCCGGCACGCAUCGCGACACCGGCAGCUUUGCAGGCUCACCCAAGGACGUUCAGGGCGGCCUGCCGAUGGGGUCGAGGCGCAAGAUCUCCGACACGCUUCUUAGUAGCAUCACACCAGCUUUCACCCCGCCGCACGCGCCGCCGCCGCCACUGGACUGCAUUCAGAGCAUUUUCAGCAGUCCCGACCAGCGCGCGACCGAUGCCGCUGCUGCGAUGACGCAUCCGUACGUGUUGAUGGACGACGCCGUGUGGCUGGACAUGUCCCCGGCGCUGCAAAACCUGAACGACUGCAUCGGGCUGACGUUCUGCGACCGCGGCACCGGUGAGGCGUUCGCCGGCGACAGCGGGACUGUGGCACCCAUAUCGCGGCUGCCCUCGAUGAACGCGUGCAGCGGGCAUGCAGACUCUCGCACUGGUGCGACCACAGCGCGUGGCGCGGCGGGUCAGCGAACAAGUGGGGCUCCGAGGGACUGCGGCACAUUUGUGGACCUCGCUCUCUUUGAUGUGCCGGCGUUGGAGAUGCUGAACGCCUUCACGUACGCUGCGUGCACGGACGACAGCAGCUACGUCGUCGUGUCCGAAUUCGAGGUUCUGCCGUCGAUGGCGGCCGGGUGUCUCGAGAGGAUCUACGAGCUCGCCACCGAUAUGCAUCCUAUGGUUCUCCACGCGCUGCAGAAGGGAGCCUUUCACUUCGCCUACAACGACAGUGGCGGCGUAUCGUCUGGGCUGACGUCAUUGUACACGGCGUGCAUGAACGGAGUACUGCUGCAUCCCCGCACCGCCGCGCAUGUGCUCAAGAAUGUCAUGGACAACAAUCCACCCUUCUCUCACACGCUACUCAAGCCGGUGGCGGACUCGACAGCGCUGGAUCUGCUUGGCCGCCUCGCCACCCACUCACGUGACGUGCCUAUGGUGGACGUGAACGCCGUUGUGCCGCUGAUCCACUCCAUGGUGCCCGACCGCGACUCUUCUCGAGGUGGAGGUAGACGAGUGCACGCAAGGACGGACGCUGCGAACAGCGGCACGAUACUGCCAGCCGUUGGCGCGCCGAACACCAGCGCGACCUCGAGCGCAGCCGUAUCUCACCGCUGGGAACGCGAGUCGCGCCGGCUGCUGCGCGAGUUGGUCUUCCUCACUACGGGCAACUCAGACAGCGGGCCGCCGCUGCCGCUCGCGCCGGGGCUUCGCCGGCCAGUGGGACCACCUCACCCGAUCCACAUGCUUCGCGCCGGCGCAGCCCGCAUCGCGGAGGACACUGGUGGUAUGACGCCGAUGGUGUUCGACCCGUGGUGGCGCGCAAUGGUAGUGGCGCUGUGCGUGAAGGCGUCUAACGUGUUCGCCGAGUGCAGCGGCAAUCAGCCGGUGUUGUUCCAGGAUAUGUGCCACGCGCAGGCCGAGGAGUCUAAGCGUCUGAACCGGUACACCACAGCCCACUUCGUCAACACGAAAGGCCGCGAGACGUGCGAGAAGGACGCUGUGGCGAUGAUGAGUGGGUCACAGCAAAGGCAGACCUCCCUAUCCGGUCGCGGCAGCUGUGUCGGCGACUUGCCCGCCUGGCCAGGUCGGAAACACAAGCGAAGGCCCAAGGCAAGAGGAGUUACGGCAAGCGGUGGCAGAAAGCCAGCGUCCACUGACAGGAAGGCAAAGAAGAAGGGACGGAAAGCCGCCGCCGCUGCAGCGUGAGGGAAAGAGGAGAAACGGCAGCGCGACGCGAAGCCGCCGCCCACCGUUCCAUGUGCGGGCAUUGCCACAGCUACCGUGGGCAAGGGGAGCGAGGGGCCACUCUCUAGCGCUCCCUCUUCCCCUUCGUGUCGCUCACUUCUGGUGUAAAAUAGAAGAAAUAGCCACCCUGCUGCAGUGGAACGUACACGCACGCACGCGCAACCUAUCACGGACUGCGUGUGUGCCCUCAUUCAACUUGACUUCCUCUCAUGUGUUGGCCGCCCAACGAUGAGGCAUCCGUAUGUGGGUGUCUGCACCCCCUUCCUCCUGUGCGGCUUUCAGUGAAGGUGCACAAGUGAGGAAGUAGGAUAGAAGGGGGGCGGGGGGUGGGCUGCAUGUGUGCCAACGGAGCGGGCACGCAGAGAGCGGUGUCGUCCUCUUCCGUUGCAUCUGUGCUUUGUGUGUGUGUGCGCGCGCUUACUCUGUUGCAUGCCGCUCCGCCUGUGCGCGUUGAAGCCGUGUUUCACGGAAGUGUCGCGAGACCGCACGUGUACGCACAAAAAAAAGAAAUGCAAGUGCAUUGCCGCCGGAGUGCUCGCCUCACGUGACAUGCGCCUGUCUGUGUCGGUGCACACGCACACACACACACCUGCUGCUGCUGCUGAGGCCCCUCUCUCCAUACCCGCACCGCGAUCGCAG
This 7057-nucleotide unclassified non-coding RNA is filed under the name Leishmania donovani. Its description in RNAcentral is "gene:LdHU3.23.0640(CDS-product:hypothetical_prote in_conserved)". Lineage: Eukaryota; Euglenozoa; Kinetoplastea; Trypanosomatida; Trypanosomatidae. The record is from RNAcentral.